RNAcentral lists this ribosomal RNA (465 nucleotides) under Vreelandella stevensii. RNAcentral describes it as "partial 16S ribosomal RNA". It matches the Rfam family "Bacterial small subunit ribosomal RNA", at positions 338 to 795 of the family's 1533-position model. The record is from RNAcentral. Lineage: Bacteria; Pseudomonadati; Pseudomonadota; Gammaproteobacteria; Oceanospirillales; Halomonadaceae.
CCUACGGGAGGCAGCAGUGGGGAAUAUUGGACAAUGGGGGCAACCCUGAUCCAGCCAUGCCGCGUGUGUGAAGAAGGCCCUCGGGUUGUAAAGCACUUUCAGUGAGGAAGAACGCCUGGUGGUUAAUACCCAUCAGGAAAGACAUCACUCACAGAAGAAGCACCGGCUAACUCCGUGCCAGCAGCCGCGGUAAUACGGAGGGUGCGAGCGUUAAUCGGAAUUACUGGGCAUAAAGCGCGCGUAGGUGGCUUGAUAAGCCGGUUGUGAAAGCCCCGGGCUCAACCUGGGAACGGCAUCCGGAACUGUCAAGCUAGAGGGUAGGGGAGGAAGGUAGAAUUCCCGGUGUAGCGGUGAAAUGCGUAGAGAUCGGGAGGAAUACCAGUGGCGAAGGCGGCCUUCUGGACUGACACUGACACUGAGGGGCGAAAGCGUGGGUAGCAAACAGGAUUAGAUACCCUUGUAGUC